RNAcentral lists this ribosomal RNA (447 nucleotides) under uncultured bacterium. Its description in RNAcentral is "bacterial SSU rRNA". It matches the Rfam family "Bacterial small subunit ribosomal RNA", at positions 329 to 792 of the family's 1533-position model. The record is from RNAcentral.
UUCCAGACUCCUACGGGAGGCAGCAGUGGGGGAUAUUGCACAAUGGGGGGAACCCUGAUGCAGCGACGCCGCGUGGGUGAAGAAGUAUUUCGGUAUGUAAAGCCCUAUCGGCAGGGAAGAAAUUGGACGGUACCUGACUAAGAAGCCCCGGCUAACUACGUGCCAGCAGCCGCGGUAAUACGUAGGGGGCAAGCGUUAUCCGGAUUCACUGGGUGUAAAGGGAGCGUAGACGGCGACGCAAGUCUGGAGUGAAAGCCCGGGGCCCAACCCCGGGACUGCUCUGGAAACUGCGUCGCUGGAGUACGGGAGGGGCAGGCGGAAUUCCUGGUGUAGCGGUGAAAUGCGUAGAUAUCAGGAGGAACACCGGCGGCGAAGGCGGCCUGCUGGACCGUGACUGACGUUGAGGCUCGAGAGCGUGGGGAGCAAACAGGAUUAGAUACCCGUGUA